CGCAAAUGACGUUUAGAAAUGUUCAGCGUAGUAUCCGAAUUCUCGUUUGUUCGUUCCCUAAAUAGUGCACUAUAUCAUGAACACUACAUAGGGAAUAGUGAGUGAGUGAAUAGGGAACGAUUUCAAACACAGCUACGGUGUGCGCAACUGUGCAUGUGCGGCCGCAGCAUGUUCCACACAUGCGGUCCUCUACUUAAUAUGUCCGUAUUGAAACUCUUUCGGUACGCCUCUGCACCGAACCGAGCACCCCGUACCGAAACGGUUCAAUACAAAUACAUGUACCGUUACACCCCGAGUUGCUAGCAAUCAAAUUGCAUGAGGGCACACCGAAGACUAGUUGGUAGCUAGAUAGGGACUUCUACUUCCAGUUAGAUACGGUGCAGCUCUGAUAGUUAUCCCUCACUGUUCUGAGUCGAGGCAUUAUAGCUGAUAAUAGGUUAUUGGUUACUGUUAUUGGAUGUUAUUGUCAGUAUAGGCCUCUAAAUGAUUAUUUUGAUUGCUUUGAACACAUUGGUAGCCACCAGCUACUAUUGCUUGCUAAGAGACUUGGAUGAUGUAGGUGUUGUUCUUGCAGCCAUUUAGUCUGGAUAUUCGCCAUAUAAAAGGCUCUGAGGAUAUAAUGGCUGACGCUUCAUCUUGCGCGUCUUACUUCAGUUUUACUGUACAUGCUUAUAUAUGUUUCCUGUCUGUCUUAGUUGUUUGUCCUGAUCUCUCUUAAAUGCUUCUAGGUACCAAGUUGCUGAGGGGUUGAGAUGAGGAACAUGAGGGAUUGGUAUAGGGCUUGUACACAACAGAUGCCACAUAUAUUGAGCCUCUGUUUUAAGGGGGAGGGUGUUACGUCCCCCUGGUACCUCAUACCAUGUGUGGCGGUCCCCCACCACACCCUGUGGGGUGGGGGAUGCAGCAGGUGCACCUGAUUGGCCUAUAAGAGGAAGACAUCCAGCCUUUCGGUCUCUCGCUGCCUGGGUGAGCAGCUGCUGUUGCCAAACCCUCUUCUUCUUUAUUUUAGUUUUGUUGCACAUUCUCACUACACCAGUCCAUAACACACUACUAUUUGUUAUGUCAUGCUUGAGCCAUGCGGUCAUAACAAUGACAAAAAUACAACUCAUACAAAAAUGUACCUUCAUUCCUUGAUAACAAAUGUUUCUCAAUAAAUGUAGCAGCACUUGUUCUGGACUUGAAUCUGAUUUUAUUUAUAAGAAGGGGUAAACAUUGCCACCUAGAGGCAAACUGCUAAA
This is a long non-coding RNA of Gadus macrocephalus (Pacific cod), 1238 nucleotides long. RefSeq lists it as uncharacterized. The transcript is spliced from 2 exons. The record is from RefSeq and is a predicted model, not a curated record. NCBI's taxonomy places the organism in Eukaryota, Metazoa, Chordata, Actinopteri, Gadiformes, Gadidae.